This 87-nucleotide transfer RNA is filed under the name Omnitrophica bacterium RIFOXYB12_FULL_50_7. RNAcentral's name for it is "tRNA-Ser". It matches the Rfam family "tRNA". From Rfam's summary of the family: Transfer RNA (tRNA) molecules are approximately 80 nucleotides in length. Their secondary structure includes four short double-helical elements and three loops (D, anti-codon, and T loops). Lineage: Bacteria; Pseudomonadati; Candidatus Omnitrophota. RNAcentral also lists the same sequence under 1 other name. The record is from RNAcentral.
GGAGAGGUGGCAGAGCGGUUGAAUGCGGCAGUCUUGAAAACUGCUAAGUCCGCAAGGGCUUCGGGGGUUCGAAUCCCUCCCUCUCCG